GCGUCGGUGGUGCAACGGUUCAGUACGCGCUCCAGCAAAGAGUGAGAUCUGGGCUCGAAUCCCGGCUGACGCA
This is a non-coding RNA of Parelaphostrongylus tenuis, 73 nucleotides long. Lineage: Eukaryota; Metazoa; Nematoda; Chromadorea; Rhabditida; Metastrongylidae. The record is from the annotation of a GenBank genome assembly.